This is a non-coding RNA of Oncorhynchus mykiss (rainbow trout), 561 nucleotides long. The record is from RefSeq and is a predicted model, not a curated record. Lineage: Eukaryota; Metazoa; Chordata; Actinopteri; Salmoniformes; Salmonidae.
GGUGACUCCAGGUUUGGAUGGACUGCCAUGGAUGGACUUUGGAUGGUGGGAAUGGUGGGAAGACAAUCUGAAGGUAAUUAUCGUUGCACACAACGGUAGCGUCCAGGCCUCCAGAGUUCUCACCCUAUCGCCUGAUGUACGGACAGGAGCCACAGCUGUUUACUGAGAUGUGUCAAACCAGAUCAGAACACCUUCGAGGACCACCUUCAGGCAUGGGAUGAGAAGGAUGUGGAGAUUUUUGACCAGGUGAGACUGUACAUGGACAAGGCACAGGAGAAACAGAAGGAAAGCCACCAGAUGAGAAUCAAGGGGACCAAGUGCUUCGACAUCCGGGCAAAUGACUUGGCUUGGAAGAAGGACAAAAGGAAGGCGAGACCUGGGAAACCUUGCUGCUCUUUCGCUUCUAGCUGGGGUCCCCAUCCGUUAAGGCUAGAGACCAUGUUGCGGAGCCUUCGGUGGGCAAGCGGUCAUUUGAUUGAUGAAGAGGUGGCCAGCAAUCUAAUUGCUGUUGCAGGGGAGUUCCUGCAAGAGGCAAAUUACAUCAACAACGGGAACCUUACC